UCUGGUAACCAUAGCCAAGAGGUCACACCUGUUCCCAUGCCGAACACAGAAGUUAAGCUCUUGAACGCCGAUGGUAGUUGGGACUUUGUCCCUGUGAGAGUAGGACG
This 107-nucleotide ribosomal RNA is filed under the name Priestia endophytica. The record is from RNAcentral. Lineage: Bacteria; Bacillati; Bacillota; Bacilli; Caryophanales; Bacillaceae.